CUCCUGCAUGUGACGGACACAGCACUGAUCCUGGCAGCUCCUUACCCCCAGCAGCCCGAAACUCACUCCUUAAUUACACAAGGGAAACCUUUUACCUCCGCAGCCAGAGUCUGGGGGGAAAGGCAGGCGUGGGAAGAUGGGUUCUCUACCUGGCCAGUGCCAUGUUGCCUGUUUCUUUACUGUAACUGUGGUGACAAAGAAAAGGGAAGAUGGAGCCUCCAUGUUGAACAUACCUGGCCCCCAGCACUAACUCCCUCUCUGGAUAUCUGGAACAAGGAGGACCUUAAACUUAACAAUAAAGCCAAUGAUGGUUCUACCAGUCUCCCCAAAGCCUCAAGUUUAAAAGCCAUAUGAACUGGCUGAUAGUGGAAAAUGGAAGCCAUGAGGAAAUCAGAUUAGAGUACUACCUGGUGAAGCCUGGAGGACCUACCAAGAAAAGCAAACUUGGAUCUUUGCAAGGUUAGAAGAACGAAUGGGAUCCAAGAAAAAGACUGGUCAUAUUCAACGGCUAAGAGCGUUGGAGAAGGCCUGUGGAGUCUCAGCAGGUCAGGUCCAUGACUCAUGAGUAGACACCUGUGUUUCUACUGCCUGGUGCCAUAAUCAUAAACAAGGAAGAAACUGAGGACAGGAGGGGCCAAACAAGUUACAGUUUCAUCCCUCCAGAGAGCCAACAGAGUAUUUUGCACGAAGUUGAAGCUAAACAGGUAUUAUGUCCUAUCUCUGGACUGAAUGACUAGAUGCUACUCAGCUUCUGAACUAGAGGAAGCCUGGGACCUUGACCGCACUAAUGCUGAUGACAGCGGAUUUGCAAGUGGCUAGAGGUACCAGAUUUAGCAAAUCAAAAUAUAGGACGUCAAGUUAAAUUUAAGUGUAAGAUAAGCUACGAAUACCUUUUCUAGUAUUAGUACGUCCCAUGCAAUAUACUAGAAAUGUUAUUCGUUAUUUAUGUUAAAUUUAAUUUUAUUAGGGCAUCCUAUAUUUUACCUGUCAAUCCAACCCAUGACCUAGGCAGACACUGUAGAAAAACAAAAGGAGAAUUAAGGAGAUAAAUGAAACACAGGGUGAGCUGAAAAGAGGUGCUCUGUGAAUUUGAGGGUCCAGUAGGAGCUGACUUGUAGGUACUUGGUCUGUUUUGAUGCCCACAACAACCUUGGGGAAGGGGCGGAAUAGCAGAGGGGUAAGCUCUCUGCCCCCCACCAGGGUUCUGCAGGACGCCAGGGCUUUUAUCAGCACCCCUAUGUUCACAUCCUGGCUGCACCCUCCUUGGUUGUAUAUACUCUGGAUAAUUCACUUAAUUUAAAUCUUGCUGCUUUUAUAAAAUUGAUAAAAAGUUAAUAGUGACACUGAUCACACUGAUGUCCCUCAAUGAAUUAUCAAUAUGUUUUUUCUUCCCACCUAUAUUCUUUAUUGAACUCUGUUAUUUUUGAUCCUGGUCUAGAGUAAGCAUUAUGACCAUGCAAGAGUGAAAUGAAAUUUUUAAAAAUAAUUUUUUAAUGUUUUCUGAAUGCUGGGUGUUUUCAAUGAUCAUGCAUGACUGGCAGCAAAGAGGAACGAGGAUGGAUUCGAUAAGGUGCAACAAGUCCUGAACACACACAGAGAACUGGCUGUGAAUCCUGUUUCUGCCACUCACCACUUACUUGUUGGUGAAAAUGCUCAGGAUGUUCACUGCAGCCUGCCUCACCCUGGAAAAGAGAUGUGAGGAUAAUGAGAAAGAAGAGUAUGUUCAGUGCGGAGCAUGCAAAUUUGCAUGAAAACUUCCCAGGCAAAGCAGGAAAGAAACCAGACCUCUUUUCUGCACAAUAAUGGGGCCCACUAACUCUGGGGAAAAGAGUAAUCAGCAAAUGCCUUUCCUUUCUCCUGCUGAUGUUUUGCCCGUACUCAGACCCCUUGACUUCUUAGCUUCUACCCAAAGUGAGCUUGUCAUCAAAGUUCUCCAAAAAUCUGCAGUGUUCUCUUGAGCAAAUCUGUUCAAUACACUGAUUGAGGCCAGGCGCGGUGGCUCACAC
RNAcentral lists this long non-coding RNA (2006 nucleotides) under Homo sapiens (human). RNAcentral's name for it is "HSALNT0361164". Lineage: Eukaryota; Metazoa; Chordata; Mammalia; Primates; Hominidae. The record is from RNAcentral.